This 73-nucleotide transfer RNA is filed under the name Acidobacteriota bacterium. Its description in RNAcentral is "tRNA-Arg". It matches the Rfam family "tRNA". From Rfam's summary of the family: Transfer RNA (tRNA) molecules are approximately 80 nucleotides in length. Lineage: Bacteria; Pseudomonadati; Acidobacteriota. RNAcentral also lists the same sequence under 2 other names. The record is from RNAcentral.
GCUCGCGUAGCUCAGUGGAUAGAGUGUUCCCCUCCGAAGGGAAAGGUCGCAGGUUCAAAUCCCGCCGCGAGUA